Molecule: long non-coding RNA, 538 nt
Filed under: Felis catus (domestic cat)
Lineage: Eukaryota; Metazoa; Chordata; Mammalia; Carnivora; Felidae
Description: lncRNA (ENSFCAG00000047148.1)
Source: RNAcentral
GCUUCAUAAUGGGAACUAACAUUUUCUGGAACUUCACGACUUAAAAAGUAAAUUCAUGUAUGCCAUUUCAUCUCUGAGAGAUUCAAUGACCAUGUUUGAUGACAAGCCAGAUGGCAGCCGUUCUCCAGACCCGGUGCCAAGAAGCGUGACAGGAGCCGCAAUUUACCUUGCGCGGUGGAGGCCGGCUACAGAAGCGCCCCCGCAGCUGCGGGCCAGCAGGGCUGCUGCCGGUAGGUGCGCCCGCCCGCUUGGUUCCCUCCCAAUUUGGAUGGAGCAGGGCAAGAAAGAACAGAAAUGUGGAGCGUAUUUUAAUGCAAUCUGUCUGCGAUUCAUGGGAGAAACAACAUUCCCUCGGUGAAAAACCCUGAAAGAACUGUUGGAGCUGGUCUGAUCUGCACGUUUGGAGGAACACUGGCGUACGAGUUACUGGGAACACCAGAGCCCUGUGGAAUUCUAUAGGUGAAUGAGUGGUUGGAAGAGAGCAGACUUCACUGGAAAUUAGCAAGUGGAGUAAUAAAUACUGGAAGACACAAGAACA